RNAcentral lists this ribosomal RNA (318 nucleotides) under uncultured soil bacterium. RNAcentral's name for it is "bacterial SSU rRNA". It matches the Rfam family "Bacterial small subunit ribosomal RNA", at positions 27 to 352 of the family's 1533-position model. The record is from RNAcentral.
GGAUUGAACGCUAGCGGGAUGCUUUACACAUGCAAGUCGAACGGCAGCGCGGACUUCGGUCUGGCGGCGAGUGGCGAACGGGUGAGUAAUAUAUCGGAACGUGCCCAGUAGCGGGGGAUAACUACGCGAAAGCGUGGCUAAUACCGCAUACGCCCUACGGGGGAAAGGGGGGGAUUCUUCGGAACCUCUCACUAUUGGAGCGGCCGAUAUCAGAUUAGCUAGUUGGUGAGGUAAAGGCUCACCAAGGCGACGAUCUGUAGCUGGUUUGAGCGGGCUAGCGACGCGCUAGAAGUGAGACAGCCAGACUCCAGGAGCAGC